RNAcentral lists this small RNA (162 nucleotides) under Arabidopsis thaliana (thale cress). Its description in RNAcentral is "ATSL039990". Lineage: Eukaryota; Viridiplantae; Streptophyta; Magnoliopsida; Brassicales; Brassicaceae. The record is from RNAcentral.
ACCACUCGAUCUCACCACUCUGCCUUGAAGUCGAGUAUCACCAUCACCACCACUCGACUGCGUACUCGAUGAAAAGCUUCAGAGCCUUCUUCAUUCCGCACUCAACCAGACACUCGAGCACGAGGAAGAAAAGAAGACUCCAGCUACUCACUCGACCACUUG